ACGAUGAGAUACACUUGCAGAUAAAUUCAAAACUUCGGACUCUUGGCUCACAAUUGCAGUUCAACAAGGCCUGAGGAAGAUACUCAACGAGGGGAAGGAGCUUGUCUUGCCUUGUAGCGUCUUAAUGAAUGGCAAAGGGUUGUGUGGUACAUUGAAUCCCUCCUGCCGGAUGGCAUCAAGCAUGCGACAAUGUUGAUCCAGGUGAUUUCUUCUCUCACUUCUAUCCUUAUAGGCUGCAUCACUAACUUUGCACUAAUCUUGCAUGGUAAUAAGUACUAACACUAUGUCAUUCCUGACAACUUGAACUUUAUUAAUUGUGUCCUUGUUAUGAUGUCACCAUUAAGUCAAGGCUGUACUAUCACUGUCAUGAUUGCCUACAAAGUUUACUUUCCCAUGGUUGUGUAGUACAUCGACAUAUUUAUGAUAACUUACAGCUUCAACUUCACAACAUGAACUAUCUAGGAGCCGAGUUGAAUUAUCUAGGAGCGGAUUUUUUUAUAGCUCUAAUUGCAAAAUAGAGCCAAAAAACAACAUAUUUUUGUAGUUGGUAUUUACUGUGCAUAUCAGCUCUGAACUAUCUCUCGUGGAUUAUUUUCAGAGAUAAAAAUUGUCCUGUAUACUUAUUGCUUAAUUACUUGGCAUGCUUAACAUUGGAAUCGAACAAGUCAAAUCCCUCUUGUCCAAUGAAUAGCGCAUAAGUCUCCCCAUUUUAUUGCAGGGAACCCAAAUAUUUCCAUUACAGUUUAGUUUUAAACAUAAAACCAAGCCAAUAUGAAAUCACAACUUUGGUUUAUUUUUUUAAUAUCAACUGCAUUUUUAUCUUGAAUAGCCAUCUUUCCUCUUAAACAUCCCUGCAUUCUUGUCAUUAUAUUAUAGAUAUUGAAUUAGCUCCAUUGAAGCCCAAUUUGAGCUACGGUGUUGUGUUCAUUUAGUUUCUGUCACUGUUGGAAUAUCAGUCCCCAUUCUGCAAUUAGAUUGAAUCCAGGAUGCUCUACCAGCAGAGGUUUUUCUUGAGUUUGUGCUCUUUUUUUUGCAGUUUUCUGAGCUAUGUUACCUAAUCUAGUUAUAUCUUGCUAUCCCCGUUCCUUUGCUACAAACUGGAAGUUUGUAACUAGUGGAUACUCUCAUGGUAUUCAUCUUGUGCUUCAACUCAUGUGACAAAUAAAUGAAGUGUUUAAUGUGCUUGAUUCUGUAUUGAGCAUCUUUUAAUUCUUCCAACUUAUCAGUUUCAGUGACAAGGGUGACACAUGUUGUAUCUUAUAUUUCUUUCGACACACCAUCAUUACCUUCUUUCAUCACUACAAAGGCAGUGAAUGGAAAUUCUGCACUUUCAUGGCAACUUUUGCGAUGGGCUUUGUGUUCUGUCACGCAAGCAUUGGAGGUUUCUGACGUCCCCUUAUACCUUAUAAAGGACACCCCCCAGUGCUAUGGCAUAUGUCUUUAUUGUCAUGAGACUUAUCCACCUGAGACUGUCACCUUUUUUAUGCACAGUCGGUACAUUCUCUCAAAUACGAUGAUGGGAAAUUAGUUGAAGGAUACUUGCUUGGAGCUGCUCGAAGAAGUAAUAUAUUUUCUCAUAUCUUUAUAUGACAUAUGCAGGGUGGAUGUGAGGAAGCUGACAACAAAAAGGAUGCAUGGGCUCCAAAGACUGCUGCUGGGACUGCCUGCUAGACUACGGGGACAAGCUGAAGAAUUAGAUACACGAGUUGGGCACCUUACCUUGAUCGAGUCAGUGGCGUCCAAGGGCGCUGGGAAUGAAUUUAUUUUCCUUGUAGACCGGUGAUCCAAGAUUUGAACUUUAAGCGCCUUCGGCUGAUGUAUCCUUGCAUUUACUUUCUGUUCAUAACUAGCUGGUGUUGGCUUCCUCAUGUUGAAGCUUGUAGUGAAGUCUGGUUUGCUGGCAUGCAUUUCCUGGGUGUCUCCUCGGUUAUGACCAUAUUUUGUAUUCAGGGUGUUGGACCUGGUGUUCGCUACGUCGUGCCUGCUGUGCAUAUGCAUUUAUGGGCACUGAGUAGAAGGAAAGUAUAUGUAGAUGCUUGUAUUUAGAGAAAUAUUUGUAUGUGAAGUUUCGCAGCUGCCUCAACUCCUGCGAGGUCGCUCACAUUGGCAUGUAAUAUCUUCGUUGGAUUCCGCUACAGAUCAGCUGGAAAUUUUUA
Lolium rigidum is the source of this 2156-nucleotide long non-coding RNA. RefSeq lists it as uncharacterized. The transcript is spliced from 5 exons. The record is from RefSeq and is a predicted model, not a curated record. NCBI's taxonomy places the organism in Eukaryota, Viridiplantae, Streptophyta, Magnoliopsida, Poales, Poaceae.